GCCGGGCACGGUGGCUCAUGCCUGUAAUCCCAGCAUUUUGGGAGGCUGAGGUGGGAGGAUCACCUGAGGCCAGGAGUUCGAGACCAACCUGGCCAACAUGGUGAAACCCCAUUUCUA
RNAcentral lists this small RNA (117 nucleotides) under Pongo abelii (Sumatran orangutan). Its description in RNAcentral is "Metazoan signal recognition particle RNA (ENSPPYG00000035137.1)". The record is from Rfam by way of RNAcentral. Lineage: Eukaryota; Metazoa; Chordata; Mammalia; Primates; Hominidae.